GGUUAAGCGACUAAGCGUACACGGUGGAUGCCCUGGCAGUCAGAGGCGAUGAAGGACGUGCUAAUCUGCGAUAAGCGUCGGUAAGGUGAUAUGAACCGUUAUAACCGGCGAUUUCCGAAUGGGGAAACCCAGUGUGUUUCGACACACUAUCAUUAACUGAAUCCAUAGGUUAAUGAGGCGAACCGGGGGAACUGAAACAUCUAAGUACCCCGAGGAAAAGAAAUCAACCGAGAUUCCCCCAGUAGCGGCGAGCGAACGGGGAGCAGCCCAGAGCCUGAAUCAGUGUGUGUGUUAGUGGAAGCGUCUGGAAAGGCGCGCGAUACAGGGUGACAGCCCCGUACACAAAAAUGCACAUGCUGUGAGCUCGAUGAGUAGGGCGGGACACGUGGUAUCCUGUCUGAAUAUGGGGGGACCAUCCUCCAAGGCUAAAUACUCCUGACUGACCGAUAGUGAACCAGUACCGUGAGGGAAAGGCGAAAAGAACCCCGGCGAGGGGAGUGAAAAAGAACCUGAAACCGUGUACGUACAAGCAGUGGGAGCACGCUUAGGCGUGUGACUGCGUACCUUUUGUAUAAUGGGUCAGCGACUUAUAUUCUGUAGCAAGGUUAACCGAAUAGGGGAGCCGAAGGGAAACCGAGUCUUAACUGGGCGUUAAGUUGCAGGGUAUAGACCCGAAACCCGGUGAUCUAGCCAUGGGCAGGUUGAAGGUUGGGUAACACUAACUGGAGGACCGAACCGACUAAUGUUGAAAAAUUAGCGGAUGACUUGUGGCUGGGGGUGAAAGGCCAAUCAAACCGGGAGAUAGCUGGUUCUCCCCGAAAGCUAUUUAGGUAGCGCCUCGUGAAUUCAUCUCCGGGGGUAGAGCACUGUUUCGGCAAGGGGGUCAUCCCGACUUACCAACCCGAUGCAAACUGCGAAUACCGGAGAAUGUUAUCACGGGAGACACACGGCGGGUGCUAACGUCCGUCGUGAAGAGGGAAACAACCCAGACCGCCAGCUAAGGUCCCAAAGUCAUGGUUAAGUGGGAAACGAUGUGGGAAGGCCCAGACAGCCAGGAUGUUGGCUUAGAAGCAGCCAUCAUUUAAAGAAAGCGUAAUAGCUCACUGGUCGAGUCGGCCUGCGCGGAAGAUGUAACGGGGCUAAACCAUGCACCGAAGCUGCGGCAGCGACACUAUGUGUUGUUGGGUAGGGGAGCGUUCUGUAAGCCUGUGAAGGUGUGCUGUGAGGCAUGCUGGAGGUAUCAGAAGUGCGAAUGCUGACAUAAGUAACGAUAAAGCGGGUGAAAAGCCCGCUCGCCGGAAGACCAAGGGUUCCUGUCCAACGUUAAUCGGGGCAGGGUGAGUCGACCCCUAAGGCGAGGCCGAAAGGCGUAGUCGAUGGGAAACAGGUUAAUAUUCCUGUACUUGGUGUUACUGCGAAGGGGGGACGGAGAAGGCUAUGUUGGCCGGGCGACGGUUGUCCCGGUUUAAGCGUGUAGGCUGGUUUUCCAGGCAAAUCCGGAAAAUCAAGGCUGAGGCGUGAUGACGAGGCACUACGGUGCUGAAGCAACAAAUGCCCUGCUUCCAGGAAAAGCCUCUAAGCAUCAGGUAACAUCAAAUCGUACCCCAAACCGACACAGGUGGUCAGGUAGAGAAUACCAAGGCGCUUGAGAGAACUCGGGUGAAGGAACUAGGCAAAAUGGUGCCGUAACUUCGGGAGAAGGCACGCUGAUAUGUAGGUGANNNNNNNNNNNNNNNNNNNNNNNNNNNNNNNNNNNNNNNNNNNNNNNNNNNNNNNNNNNNNNNNNNNNNNNNNNNNNNNNNNNNNNNNNNNNNNNNNNNNNNNNNNNNNGCGAAGCUCUUGAUCGAAGCCCCGGUAAACGGCGGCCGUAACUAUAACGGUCCUAAGGUAGCGAAAUUCCUUGUCGGGUAAGUUCCGACCUGCACGAAUGGCGUAAUGAUGGCCAGGCUGUCUCCACCCGAGACUCAGUGAAAUUGAACUCGCUGUGAAGAUGCAGUGUACCCGCGGCAAGACGGAAAGACCCCGUGAACCUUUACUAUAGCUUGACACUGAACAUUGAGCCUUGAUGUGUAGGAUAGGUGGGAGGCUUAGAAGUGUGGACGCCAGUCUGCAUGGAGCCGACCUUGAAAUACCACCCUUUAAUGUUUGAUGUUCUAACGUUGACCCGUAAUCCGGGUUGCGGACAGUGUCUGGUGGGUAGUUUGACUGGGGCGGUCUCCUCCUAAAGAGUAACGGAGGAGCACGAAGGUUGGCUAAUCCUGGUCGGACAUCAGGAGGUUAGUGCAAUGGCAUAAGCCAGCUUGACUGCGAGCGUGACGGCGCGAGCAGGUGCGAAAGCAGGUCAUAGUGAUCCGGUGGUUCUGAAUGGAAGGGCCAUCGCUCAACGGAUAAAAGGUACUCCGGGGAUAACAGGCUGAUACCGCCCAAGAGUUCAUAUCGACGGCGGUGUUUGGCACCUCGAUGUCGGCUCAUCACAUCCUGGGGCUGAAGUAGGUCCCAAGGGUAUGGCUGUUCGCCAUUUAAAGUGGUACGCGAGCUGGGUUUAGAACGUCGUGAGACAGUUCGGUCCCUAUCUGCCGUGGGCGCUGGAGAACUGAGGGGGGCUGCUCCUAGUACGAGAGGACCGGAGUGGACGCAUCACUGGUGUUCGGGUUGUCAUGCCAAUGGCACUGCCCGGUAGCUAAAUGCGGAAGAGAUAAGUGCUGAAAGCAUCUAAGCACGAAACUUGCCCCGAGAUGAGUUCUCCCUGACUCCUUGAGAGUCCUGAAGGAACGUUGAAGACGACGACGUUGAUAGGCCGGGUGUGUAAGCGCAGCGAUGCGUUGAGCUAACCGGUACUAAUGAACCGUGAGGCUUAACCUU
This 2862-nucleotide ribosomal RNA is filed under the name Escherichia coli. RNAcentral's name for it is "23S ribosomal RNA". It matches the Rfam family "Bacterial large subunit ribosomal RNA". The record is from RNAcentral. Lineage: Bacteria; Pseudomonadati; Pseudomonadota; Gammaproteobacteria; Enterobacterales; Enterobacteriaceae.